Molecule: ribosomal RNA, 494 nt
Filed under: uncultured bacterium
Lineage: Bacteria
Description: partial 16S ribosomal RNA
Rfam family: Bacterial small subunit ribosomal RNA
Source: RNAcentral
GACGAACGCUGGCGGCGCGCUUAACACAUGCAAGUCGAACGGAAAGGCCUGCUUUCCCUUGUGGAUUGCGGGUACUCGAGUGGCGAACGGGUGAGUAACACGUGAGUGAUCUGCCCCCAACUUGGGUAUAAGCCUGGGAAACUGGGUCUAAUUCCCGAUAGGACUGCAGGGUGGUGCCUGUGGUGGAAAACGAUUUUCUAGUGGUUGGGGAUGAGCUCGCGGCCUAUCAGCUUGUUGGUGGGGUAAUGGCCUACCAAGGCGGCGACGGGUAGCCGGCCUGAGAGGGUGGACGGCCACAUUGGGACUGAGAUACGGCCCAGACUCCUACGGGAGGCAGCAGUGGGGAAUAUUGCACAACGGGCGGAAGCCUGAUGCAGCGACGCCGCGUGGGGGAUGACGGCCUUCGGGUUGUAAACUCCUUUCGACCGCGAGGAAGCCACCUGGUUGGAAGGGUGGUGACGGUAGUGGUAGAAGAAGCACCGGCUAACUACGUG